This is a long non-coding RNA of Oncorhynchus keta (chum salmon), 6396 nucleotides long. RefSeq lists it as uncharacterized. NCBI's taxonomy places the organism in Eukaryota, Metazoa, Chordata, Actinopteri, Salmoniformes, Salmonidae. The transcript is spliced from 4 exons. The record is from RefSeq and is a predicted model, not a curated record.
GAACUUUUUUUAUGUGGUUUCAAUGGUAGUUGGUUGAAAUGCAAUGGGUUGCACUAUACAAGAUGAUUCUGAAGUUAACUGGACAAUGACUCAACACACCUCCAGGCUGUGUAAGGGCUAUUUGACCAAGAAGGUGAGUGAUGGAGUGCUACAUCAGAUGACCUGGCCUCCACAAUCACCCGACCUCAACCCAAUUGAGAUCGUUUGUGAUGAGUUGGACCGCAGAGUGAAGGAAAAGCAGCCAACAAGUGCUCAGCCUAUGUAGGAACUCCUUCAGGACUGUUGGAAAAGCUUUCCAGGCGAAUCUGGAUGAGAAAAUGCCAAGCGUGUGCAAAGCUGUCAUCAAGGCAAAGGGUGGAUACUUUGGAGAAUCUAAAAUAUUAAAAGUAUUUUGAUUUGUUUAACACUUUUUAAAUGUUUUAUUUAACUAGGCAAAUCAGUUAAGAACAAAUUAUUAUUUUCAAUAACAAUUUUCAAUGACAGCCUAGGAGCAAUGGGUUAACUGCCUUGUUCAGGGGCAGAAUGACUCGAACCACCUUCAGGGGAUUCGAUCAUGCCAUCUUUCAGCUAUUAUUCCAAUGCUCUAACCACUACCUGCCGUUACUACCAGGGUGUAAGAUAUUAUUAAAAAUCCGAUAACUGUAAUCCGUUAUGUUACAAGCAAAAAUAUUGUAAUCAGAUUCCAGAUACUUUAUAAAAACUAGAUGAUUGCUUUGAGGAUUACUUUUAAAUUCUUGGACACUUGUUUACUCAAUGACAUUCAAAUCAGCAUUGAAAAAAGGUGCACGUUUAAGUGUGUUCCACCUGAGCGAGUCUGACCCCAAGUCAGAGACCACUACGAUGGCACACCAAAUGUGUUUGAUGGUUCGAGGGAAAAGAGCAGGAAUAGGUUUUUGUGGGCUACAGUCCAAGCUGUCUUCCAAUGGUGCAACUGCUGUUGGCAUCCAAAGAUUAUUCUAUUUGAAUAAACGCUUGGAUGUAAGGAUGACAGCAGUGGUGUAGUCUACAUAUUAUUGAUAUCUACAUAGAGCAUUGAUGUGAAUCACAUUGCUGCUCUCUCAUUUUGCUAUUUGUGCCUUACGGAUUGUGGUUGUUGUGGAUGUUAUGGAUGGUCAGUCCUUGCAUCUAUAGCUCUGUCUAUAAAUCUGAGAGUGGUUACAUGUCUCCAGGCCCAUCCCUCAGCUUUUUAACAAAACAGAGGCGGGGCGGCCGUUUUGUUAUAGUUUCAUCUGUGGAUUUGCCCUUUUAACAGCUGCAUAUGAUCAAGAUAUCAGCAUUUAUUUUUCAAUGCGAAUCAAUGAGCCCAAUCAGUCCUUCAUGACAACAAAUCAUAAACCACAGAGUAGAGUUGGCUAAUAAGUCCUUAGUUUUAGGGUCCUCCUCAGGUAAAACAAUUUGGCUAAUCUAUACUUCCAUAUUUAUAAGUUCUAUUCUUGAAGAUCAAGGGGAUUAACAUUUAUUGGAAUGACUGGAAUUUUGACAGACUUUUGGGGUUUUUAAUGUACUUUUUAAUAUAAUUUAAUCAUAUUAUUAUACAGUGCCUUGCGAAACUAUUCGGCCCCCUUGAACUUUGCGACCUUUUGCCACAUUUCAGGCUUCAAACAUAAAGAUAUAAAACUGUAUUUUUUUGUGAAGAAUCAACAACAAGUGGGACACAAUCAUGAAGUGGAACGACAUUUAUUGGAUAUUUCAAACUUUUUUAACAAAUCAAAAACUGAAAAAUUGGGCGUGCAAAAUUAUUCAGCCCCCUUAAGUUAAUACUUUGUAGCGCCACCUUUUGCUGCGAUUACAGCUGUAAGUCGCUUGGGGUAUGUCUCUAUCAGUUUUGCACAUCGAGAGACUGACAUUUUUUCCCAUUCCGCCUUGCAAAACAGCUCGAGCUCAGUGAUGUUGGAUGGAGAGCAUUUGUGAACAGCAGUUUUCAGUUCUUUCCACAGAUUCUCGAUUGGAUUCAGGUCAACGUUUUUUAAUAUUGAUGUCACAAAUGUAUAAUUUGUACAUUUCUUUAUCAACAUUUUAGUUUGUUUUUUUACAUUUGACUGUGUAAAAUCUAGCAGUACUACUUAUUUCUCUGAGCGUGAGGUGAAAUUAUAGCAUUUUGCAACAAAUAGCAUUUGUCUUUGAAAUGACAUCAUUCAGUAAUAGGCUAGAUUUUAAACAGAUACAUGUCUGUCAUUGAACAAUCCCAUGCCAUGAUUAGAUAAAUAAUAAUAUAAUAAUAAUAUAAUAAUAAUAGAUAAAUAAUAAACACAAUAAUCUCUUUCAUAAUUCAUUUAAGAAUAUGUAUAUAGCGUUUUGGAAUUAAACUCUUCAAUUGCUAACUCUGCAAAACAUUGUUGAUAUACCAUUGCCCAUACAAUCAAGCCAUUUAAGUGUCCAUGGUGACAGUUAUUUAAGUAGUAGCCUCUCCUGACCUUUACAGUAAUGUCUACUGUAAGGAUGCAGAAUAGUGAACCAGUCUGAUGUAUUUGUUCCUGGCUGUAAAUACUGUUCCAUUCUCACUGGGGUAAUCUACUGUUGCCUGGCAGGCUGUGUUUCCACUGUGUGUCUUGGCCCCUUCUCUAUGUCAGUGGGGGCUGCUGAGGGGAGGACGGCUCACAAUAAUGGCUGGAAUGGAGUAAAUGGAAUGGUAUCACAAAGACAUGUUUUCCAUGUGGUGUAUAUCCCUCCACUGACUCCAUUCCAGCCACGAUUUCAGCUCGACCUGUUGCUCCUCAGUCAAGAGACUUUUCUUUAAACAGCAAAUGGUGCUUAUCUUAAACCCCCCCAAAAAAAGGUUACUCUCUCUGCUCCUCUCAGAAUAUAGUACUGGUCAGUUGAUAGGUCAAAACCAUAUGGUUGUCAUGACAUAUUGCGUUUGUUCCUUAAUAUGAAGUUAUUAGCAAGUGAAGUGAAAACGUUGCCUAAAAACGUACAGUGACUUCAGAAAGUAUUCACACCCCUUGCAUUUUUCCUAAUUUUGUUGGGUUACAGCCUGAAUUUAAAUGAUUUUUUAUUUAUUUAGAUUAAAUGUAGAUUUCUUUUCACUGGCCUGCACACAAUACCCCAUAAUGUCAAAGUGAAACUAUGUUUUUCAAAAUAUUUAAACAUUUAUUAAAAAUAAAAGGCAAAAAUGUAUUGUGUCAAUAAGUAUUCAACCCCUUUAUUAUAAGAAGCCUAAAUAAGUUCAGGAGUAAAAAUGUGCUGAACAAGUCACAUAAUACGCUGUAUGGACUCACUCUGUGUGUCAUAAUAGUGUUUAACACAAUGUUUAAAUGACUACUUCAUCUAUGUACCACACACAUACAAUUAUCUGUAAGGUCCCUCAUUUGAGCAGUGAAUUUCAAACAGAUUCAACCACAAAGUCCAGGGAGGUUUUAUAAUGUCUCGCAAAGAAGGGCACCUAUUGGUAGAUGGUUAAAAAUACAUCAGACAUUGAAUAUCCCUUUGAGAGGGGUGAAGUUAUUAAUGACACUUUGGAUGGUGUAUCAAUACACCCAGUCGCUACAAAGAUACAGGCGUCCUUCCUAACUCAGUUGCCAGAGAGGAAGGAAACCGAGGCCAAUGGUGACUUUAAAACAGUUACAGAGUUUAAUGGCUGUUAUGAGAGAAAAAUGAGGAUGGAUCAACAACAAUGUAGUUACUCCACAAUACUAACCUAAUUGACAGAGUGAAAAGUAGGAAGCCUGUACAGAAUAACAAUAUUCCAACACAUCCAUCCUGUUUGCAACAAGGCACUAAAGUAAUACAGACAAAAAAAUAUGCUAAAGCAAUUCACUUUUUGUCCUGAAUACAAAGUUGUAUGUUCGGGGCAAAUAGCCUAAAACACAAUGCAAAAUCUACACUGGAGUUGCUUACCAAGAAGACAGUGAAUGUUCCUGUGCGGCCGAGUUAUAGUUUUCACUUAAAUCUACUUAAAAAAUGAUGUCAAGACCUGAAAAUGGUUGUCUAGCAAUGUUCAACAAGCAAUUUGACAGAGGUUGAAGACAUUUGAAAAGAAUAAUGGGCAAAUGUUGCACAAUCCAGGUGUGGAAAGCUCUUAGAGACUUACCCAGAAAGACUCACAGCUGUAAUCACUGCCAAAUGUGUUUCUACAAAGUAUUGACUCAGGGGUAAGAAUACUUAUGUAAAUGAGACAUUUCUGUAUUUAAUUUCCAGUACAUUUUCAAAAAAUGUCUAAAUCUUGUUUUCACUUUGUCAUUGAGGUACUGUGUGUAGAUGGGUGAGAAAGAAAAUCAAUUUAAUCAGUUGUAUUUGUCACAUUCGCCAAAUACAACAGGUGUAGACUUUACCGUGAAAUUAUUACUUACCAGCCUUUUCCCAACAAUGCAGAGUUAAAAUGGCGGAGAUAUUUGCAAAAGAUAAACAAGGAAAUAGUAACACAAUAAAUGAACAAUAACGAGUCUAUACAAGGAGUACCGGUCCCGAUUCAAUGGUCAGGGUACGAGGUAGAUGAGGUAAUAUGUACUUGAAGGAAGGGUAAAAAUGACUAGGCAAUCAGGAUAGAUAACAGUUUUUUUACAAUCACUUUGGCACUAACCCUCUAGACACAAAAGUCACAACCAACGAGCAAAAUGCUCAUUUUCAAAACUCUAACACUUUUUCCAAUUGCUUGGAUACAAUACACAUAAAGCUAAGAUCAUUUGUUCAUUGAACUAAAAUCAACUGUUCAAAAUGACACAACAACAUCAAAGUAUUGUAUUACAAAAAUAUAAACGUAACGUGUUUCAUGAGCUGAAAUAAAUGAUCCCAGAAAUGUUCCAUAGGGAUGGUGGCAGGUUAACACCAGACGUAACGCCAGACGUACUGUGGAACAUGAACCAAUUGGACUACAUUAUCUAUGGAUGUAAUAUUUCAUCAUCAUUCUUUAUCAGACACUGUUUCUAUGGUCCCAUGUACCACUUUUCCAGACCAUGUUUUCAGAUUUGACAUUACUGUACACUCACCGGCCACUUUAUUAAGUAAACCUAUCUAGUACUGGGUAGGACCCCCUUUUGCCUCCACAACAGACUGAAUUAUUCCUGGUGUUGUACGUUAAGAGAUGCCCUUCUGCACACCACUGUUUUACUCUCUACUCUAUAUACUCUCUUCUCUAUAUACUCUAUAUAUUGAGUUGCAGGCAGCCACAUGAUUCGCUGUUCGAAUGUAACAGUCCUUGAUGAGCUAAAUCAGGUCUGUAGAGCUGAUGGCAUGACCUAUGUCAUUGUGUGGGAUAAUGUCAGGUUCCACCAUGCUCAAAUGGUGCAAGCAUGGUUUCAGGCCCAUCCACAAUUGACCACCCUGUGCUUAUCCCCAUACUCUCCUUUCCUUAACCCGAUUGAGGAAUUCUUCUCCACAUGGAGGUGGGAGGUAUAUGAUAGGCUCCCUCACGAACAAGCCACCCUUCUCCAGGCCAUGGAUGACGCAUGCAAUGACAUCACGGCAGACCAGUGUCAGGCCUGGAUUCGCCCGAAGAUUCUUCCCAAGAUGUUUGGCUAUUGAAAACAUCCAUUGUGAUGUGGAUGAGAACCUUUGGCCAAAUCCACAAGACAGGGUUGAUGGAAAUAUAGAAGUGCAGUGCAGUGAUGUUUUACAGUAAGCCAGGUGAGGAACACUGCAGUGAUGUUUUACAGUAAGCCAGGUGAGGAACACUGCAGUGAUGUUUUACAGUAAGCCAGGUGAGGAACACUGCAGUUGAUGUUUUACAGUAAGCCAGGUGAGGAACAUGGCAGUGAUGUUUUACAGUAAGCCAGGUGAGGAACACUGCAGUGAUGUUUUAUAGUAAGCCAGGUGAGGAACACUGCAGUGAUGUUUUACAGUAAGCCAGGUGAGGAACAUGGCAGUGAUGUUUUACAGUAAGCCAGGUGAGGAACACUGCAGUGAUGUUUUACAGUAAGCCAGGUGAGGAACACUGCAGUGAUGUUUUACAGUAAGCCAGGUGAGGAACAUGGCAGUGAUGUUUUACAGUAAGCCAGGUGAGGAACACUGCAGUGAUGUUUUAUAGUAAGCCAGGUGAGGAACACUGCAGUGAUGUUUUACAGUAAGCCAGGUGAGGAACACUGCAGUUGACCUUUAACUGUUUUUUAUUUUUUUGUUGUUAAUUAUUUUUGCUUUGAUUCAAAGAAACAUAUGUUGUGAUUUUAUUUUAUUUCAUCAAUAAAUUUCAUAUUUUGUUCAAUUAUUCCACUGUGUCUGUAGUAUUCUCUCUACUAGUCCUUUUACAGUGUAUUAUUUACAUGUAGUAGCAUAAGGAAACAUGUAUCACAUAUUUUGUACUACAAUAUUUAAUGAUUGUACGAACAACUACACAGUGAAACUAUCUGUAUCUUGUGUGUGGGUGAUCUAAAUGAAUGGUCCUAUGGUAUUUCAUGAUAAAUUAGUUAUUUGAACCAAUGAUUCUGCAAGUGCAAGGUUUCUUUAAAGAUAUGAAUGCACAAU